UUUCCGUAGGUGAACCUGCGGAAGGAUCAUUAUUGUAUAACCGAGGUGCGAGGGCUGUCGCUGACCCGAAAGGUCGUGCACGCCCGAGUGCCCUCACACACAUACAUCUCACCCCUAUGUGCACCACCGCGUGGGUCCUCCUUGGCUUGUUCGGAGGGGGGCUUACGUUUUCACACAAACUUUGUAUGCAGUGUAGAAUGUAUUUUUUGUUUUUGCGAUCACGCAAUCAAUACAACUUUCAACAACGGAUCUCUUGGCUCUC
This 262-nucleotide unclassified non-coding RNA is filed under the name plant metagenome. RNAcentral describes it as "partial contains small subunit ribosomal RNA, internal transcribed spacer 1, and 5.8S ribosomal RNA". The record is from RNAcentral.